Molecule: ribosomal RNA, 439 nt
Filed under: uncultured bacterium
Lineage: Bacteria
Description: partial 16S ribosomal RNA
Rfam family: Bacterial small subunit ribosomal RNA
Source: RNAcentral
CUACGGGACGCUCCAGUGAGGAAUAUUGCACAAUGGGGGGAACCCUGAUGCAGCAACGCCGCGUGGAGGAUGACGCAUUUCGGUGUGUAAACUCCUUUCAUAUGUCAAGAAAAUGACGGUAGCAUAUGAAUAGGCACCGGCUAACUCCGUGCCAGCAGCCGCGGUAAUACGGAGGGUGCAAGCGUUACUCGGAAUCACUGGGCGUAAAGGACGCGUAGGCGGGUUGGAAAGUCAGGUGUGAAAUCCUACAGCUUAACUGUAGAACUGCACUUGAAACUUCUAAUCUAGAGUAUGGGAGGGGGAGAUGGAAUUAGUGGUGUAGGGGUAAAAUCCGUAGAUAUCACUAGGAAUACCUAAAGCGAAGGCGAUCUCCUGGAACAUUACUGACGCUAAGGCGUGAAAGCGUGGGGAGCAAACAGGAUUAGAUACCCUAGUAGUC